RNAcentral lists this ribosomal RNA (350 nucleotides) under Nematoda environmental sample. Its description in RNAcentral is "SSU rRNA". It matches the Rfam family "Eukaryotic small subunit ribosomal RNA", at positions 592 to 945 of the family's 1831-position model. Lineage: Eukaryota; Metazoa; Nematoda. The record is from RNAcentral.
CAAUAGCGUAUAUUAAAGUUGUUGCGGUUAAAACGCUCGUAGUUGGAUUUGCGGCCUCGGAGAACGGUCCCCCGAAAGGGCGGUCACUGUCUCUCCUAGCCUAAAUUCGAGUCGUCUCUAGGUGCUCUUUAUUGAGUGCUUAGAGUGACUAGAACGUUUACUUUGAAAAAAUUAGAGUGCUCAAAGCAGGCGAAAUAGCCUGAAUAAGGUGCAUGGAAUAAUGGAAUAGGACCUCGGUUCUAUUUUGUUGGUUUUCGGAACCUGAGGUAAUGAUUAAGAGGAACAGACGGGGGCAUUCGUAUUCCGGCGCUAGAGGUGAAAUUCUUGGACCGCCGGAAGACGGACAACUG